GACGACGCUGGCGGCGUGCCUAACACAUGCAAGUCGAACGGAACUCUUUGGAUCAAGACUUCGGUCAAGUGAGAUUGAGUUUAGUGGCGGACGGGUGAGUAACGCGUGAGGAACCUGCCUUUCAGAGGGGGACAACAGUUGGAAACGACUGCUAAUACCGCAUAACGCGUAGAGAUCGCAUGGUCUUUACGCCAAAGAUUUAUCGCUGAGAGAUGGCCUCGCGUCUGAUUAGCUAGUUGGUGAGGUAACGGCCCACCAAGGCGACGAUCAGUAGCCGGACUGAGAGGUUGACCGGCCACAUUGGGACUGAGAUACGGCCCAGACUCCUACGGGAGGCAGCAGUGGGGAAUAUUGGGCAAUGGGCGCAAGCCUGACCCAGCAACGCCGCGUGAAGGAAGAAGGCUUUCGGGUUGUAAACUUCUUUUGUCGAGGAAGAGUAGAAGACUGUACUCGGCGAAUAAGCCACGGCUAACUACGUG
This 479-nucleotide ribosomal RNA is filed under the name uncultured bacterium. Its description in RNAcentral is "bacterial SSU rRNA". It matches the Rfam family "Bacterial small subunit ribosomal RNA", at positions 33 to 507 of the family's 1533-position model. The record is from RNAcentral.